RNAcentral lists this ribosomal RNA (162 nucleotides) under Paphiopedilum glanduliferum. RNAcentral describes it as "5.8S ribosomal RNA". It matches the Rfam family "5.8S ribosomal RNA". Rfam says of the family: 5.8S ribosomal RNA (5.8S rRNA) is a component of the large subunit of the eukaryotic ribosome. The record is from RNAcentral. Lineage: Eukaryota; Viridiplantae; Streptophyta; Magnoliopsida; Asparagales; Orchidaceae.
UACAACUCUCAGCAACGGAUAUCUCGGCUCUUGCAUCGAUGAAGAACGCAGCGAAAUGCGAUAAAUGGUGUGAAUUGCAGAAUCCCGUGAACCAUCGAGUCUUUGAACGCAAGUUGCGCCCGAGGCCAUCAGGCCAAGGGCACCGCUGCCUGGCCAUUGCGA